GUUCAAGAAGCUUAAGGUGAGAGCAUGACAUUGAAGAUGUCGGGGUAAUUGUUUAAUUCUUGAAUA
RNAcentral lists this transfer RNA (66 nucleotides) under Bactrocera minax (Chinese citrus fly). RNAcentral describes it as "tRNA-Phe". It matches the Rfam family "tRNA". From Rfam's summary of the family: Transfer RNA (tRNA) molecules are approximately 80 nucleotides in length. Their secondary structure includes four short double-helical elements and three loops (D, anti-codon, and T loops). Lineage: Eukaryota; Metazoa; Arthropoda; Insecta; Diptera; Tephritidae. The record is from RNAcentral.